CAGGGCAGGGAAGGUGGGAGAG
RNAcentral lists this microRNA (22 nucleotides) under Homo sapiens (human). RNAcentral's name for it is "hsa-miR-6879-5p". The record is from miRBase by way of RNAcentral. Lineage: Eukaryota; Metazoa; Chordata; Mammalia; Primates; Hominidae.